Lonchura striata (white-rumped munia) is the source of this 1715-nucleotide long non-coding RNA. The record is from Ensembl. Lineage: Eukaryota; Metazoa; Chordata; Aves; Passeriformes; Estrildidae.
GCUUGGGUUUGUUGCGGCUCAGAGCAGGAUCAGGAGCCGCUCCAGCACCGCGGGACCGCGGCGCGGUGCGGGGGGAAGGGGACGGGGCGGGGCCGCGUUUCGGGCCCGCGGCUGCCGUGAGGGAGGGCCCGUGAGGGCGGCAGGAAGCGGCGGCGGGCGGCCCCGGCCCUUCCGGGGCGCGGGCGGCGGAGGAGCGGCGGGGCGGCGGCGGAGGAGCCGCGGGGCGGCGCGGGUGCGGCGGGGCGGCGGCGGAGGAGCGGCGGGGCGGCGGCGGAGGAGCGGCGGCGCGGAUAUGGAUAACAGGAAGGAUGAAAAAAGUAGGACGCUGUGUGCAACCUCAGAAGAAGGGCUGAAGGCCCGAGGAAAAGAAAAAAGGAAACGAAAGCGCAGCAGAAGCAGAUCCUCCUCUGUUUCAUCCACAUCGUCUUCUAGCAGUACAUCCACUUCUUCCUCCUCAUCACGCUCAUCAUCAAGGUCAUCUUCUUCCAGUAGUAGUAGAGAUUCUCCUAAGUCUAAGUCAAAGAAAAAGAAAAAGGAAAAACACAACAAAAAGAAGAGGAAAAAGGAGAACAAAAUGAAGAAAAAGAAGGAAAAGAAGAAAAGGAAAGAGAAAACAGGACCUGUCCAGCUUUCCAAGUUCUUCAAGAACAAAAAGAAGAAUGAAAACUACAGCAUGAUAACUGGAAAGAAAAUUAAGAUGAAAAUAAAAAAGACUAAGGAAGAUAUAGAGAGAGACCGGAACCGUGCCCAGCUCCUGGAAUUUCUGAACUCUGCCUUGUAAUGGGAAGAGUCCUCACCAAGGACUGGUAGAUGUAUCAAGCCAGCCAUCAUCCUAGCAGAACACUAAGGAGAAACUCAGGGAAAAGGACACCAAGUUGGACAAGACCAGACCCUCCUACUGAGAAGAAAAUUGGGAUGUCCUUUCUUAAUGGGAAAACACAGAGUAGCUAAUAACUUGUUAAUGUCCUCCUUUUGAGAUCCUAAGGUAAUAACCAAGCUGUGGUGUUUCAGAAAAGCCCAAGUGUAUGUUGUUCACAGUGAUAAGAAAUUACACACUGAAGUCCAGCAAUGUAAUUUCUAUCUUAACUGCAUGCAGAAUGCACUCUUCAUUUCAAAUGUCUUAAUUUUUCUAGUAGUUUCAAGCAGAAUAUUUGUAAAUGUUUAUUUGAAAGAUAAGGUGUUUAUUUUAUGUAUAUUUUUUUCUGGUAGUGGUUAUGGAUAUCAUACAGAGCAAACUGACCUUUGUAAAUAGAACAUCCUUUCACAUAAAUGAUUUUUUUUGAAAGUCCAUUCACUAAUAUGUUAUUUUCUUUCAGAAUUUGAGAUGUGGUGUUUCUCUGGACAGUUUAUUGCUCUAUCUCAUUAGAAAGUGUAACAGCAAAAUACUCUAGAGCAGUAAUGGUAGCAAAUUAUUUUUAUUCUAAAAUAGAAGCAGGAAAGGUCUCUGGUUUUCUUUAUCUGAAUCAGUUGUUCAGUUCAUAAUAGACAGUUUACCCCCCCCCCCCCAUCUGGAGUUGCAGUUCCUAGACUGAAAGCUCUGGAGUUGUGGUCUGCUUUUCUGAUCCUGUGAGGCGUGUAUCAAGUCUUUCUCUCUUUGAAGUGCAAUGAGGCAUGUGCCAUCGACAUACCUUAGGCUGAUGGAGAAAGAGCUGUGGAAUGGUGUUGAGACAGGCAGUGACAGUGACUUCACGGGUCUGCUGACAGUCCACUGUGAG